Molecule: long non-coding RNA, 1156 nt
Organism: Magnolia sinica
Lineage: Eukaryota; Viridiplantae; Streptophyta; Magnoliopsida; Magnoliales; Magnoliaceae
Exons: 5
Source: RefSeq, a predicted model, not a curated record
AGCUCGCACAUAUUCAGUGAUGGCACCAGGUGGGAGAGUACGUCGUUCGCGCACUGGAUCUACCCCUUCUACUCGUGAAGUGAUGGAGCCAGCAUCGUCGUCACAUGUUGCAUCGCAGGCGUCUGAUCCCUCAGUCGCGCAUACACCGGGCACUGCAUCAUCGUCGACCAGCCAACGAGGACGUGGACCCACGCGUGGAUUGCUUUUAAAGCGACUUACGCGUGAGGGUAGGGUGACGGUAGAGUUCCCAUAGGACUGCAUUAGACCUGUUGGGAACAAUGCCAUGUUGUUUACGUCAGAGGUCGGUGUCUUAUGCCGAUCUCUGAUCCCCCCCCACCACUCCCCGUUGGGGAGACGUGACAGAUGAUGUGCGGCAGCUCAUCCGUCAGCGCCUUCAGGAUAAAUUUGACUUGGAUUUGAGUGUUCCGCACAUCUCUCAUGCUGUCGACGACAUGAUGAAGGAGCGGUUCAAGGAUUACCGCAGUAAGUUACACCGGCAAUACAAGCGGUGCAUGAGCCACGAGGAGGCCGUACAGUCCGCACCGCUGCACGUGACCGAUGAGGACUGGCGGAUACUCUGCGAUAGGUUUUCGUCUGAUUCUUUUCAGAAGAGGAGCAAAAUAAAUUCUGACAAUAGAGGAAAGUUAGAAGUGAACCAUGUAGCUGGUUCAAAGUCAUUUGUACGACUUCGUCACGACAUGGCAAGAAAGUACUGGUAAUUAUUAUGUUUAUAUAUUCUUUCCAUGCAUUUAUAUUAAGUCUAUUGUCUUUUCGAUUGCGCAGCGAGAUUCCAUCACUGGGCAGGAGCUCGGACUAGUAGACUUCUACAAAGGGACUCACUGUCGGCAGUCGACAGGAUCUUGGGUACAUCCUAGAGCCAGCGAGAUUUGGGAGGAGAUGAACACCUUACGCAGUCAGCCCACUCUCGAUGGUACUCAGCGGAGUGAGCCAGAGAUCCUGAGUCAGGUGCUUGGCAUCCGUUCUGGAUAUGUGCGUGGGUUUGGCCAUGGUGCCAAGCUCAUGGCACCCGCUAGAGCUGCCUCCAGCCGAUCCAUCGUCGUUGGCGACAGCGCCGUACGCCGAGCUGAUACUGCAGAGAGAGAGGUUCAGCAGUUACGGGUCGUCGUCGAUGACAUCAAAGAUCAGCUGGACAGAC